Long non-coding RNA from Prosopis cineraria, 3274 nucleotides. RefSeq lists it as uncharacterized. Lineage: Eukaryota; Viridiplantae; Streptophyta; Magnoliopsida; Fabales; Fabaceae. The record is from RefSeq and is a predicted model, not a curated record. The transcript has 2 exons.
GCGAGAGGGAGGGAGGGAGGGAGAGGGAGUUAGAUAGUGAAGGGAUUCAACAAUCAUCACAUGAUUAUCUGGCUGUCGAGUAAUGGUUCCUUCACACAACUACACGCUGUGAUGCUUUCAAAUGAGUUUUUUUUCCCUACUUUAACUCCUAUGUUGAUGCUAGGAUCUGUUUUAUACUUCAUACUUUAUUGGAGUUAACAGUAUCUUGAUUAUGUCCUUUGCUGGCGUGCUAAUGAGAUACUGAAAAAGGGUUGUGCAUCGAUGGCAAACUUUCCCUAUUUACCUUGCUUUCUUUUACUUUUUCUUUUUGAUCUGUUAUCCGUUUAUCCAUGUUGCAUGUAAGGUGUAAUUUCUGGACCUUUUUAGGUGUCAUAAGAGAUAUAAAUGGAACAGAAUUCUUUCCACUAUUGCAAUUGUAAUGUUGCUUGAAUUGACAAAUACGGGCGUGGUUUUUUAUCCCACUAUUGUAUUUGUGUUAUUAAUGAAGCGAAAUGCUUUAAAGGACUUUGUUGGAGUUUUACUUUCUUAUUGAUUCUAAGAUCUGCACUUGUCAACAUAAAUGCUCUUGAAUGUGAAAGGGAAGAUAUAGAACAGAAUCUUUUUAAAUUUCAUUGAAGCUACACAUACAUAGAUUUUUUUGGAGAUUAUGUUUGUGUGAUACCGAAAUGAAACGCAUGAUAUUCUUUCACCUUUCCUUCUAAUAUUGAUCUAUUUUGAUUUUGAUUUGAUAGCUUGUAUAUGUGCUGUAGUUCGGGGAACUUCUUAGGUAUUGAUCAGGAUAUAAAUAGCAAAUUUUCGCUCACAAUUAUACCAAGCAUGUUUCUGUUACUUGACAAUGCCAUUAAAUAAAUGGUUUAUUAUACAUUAAUUCAUCAGCGUAUAAUCAUCUGACUAUUUCUUCUAAACCAAAAGAUAGAUUUGCUCUCAUGUCAUCAUUAGAUAUAUUGUUUUUACUUUUUAAAUACUUCUAUGUUAGUUGCCUUUUUCUUUAGUUUAUCCCACUGACAGUGAUCAUAUUUCAGCUUGAGAUUUUAGGCUGGUAAAUAGGUUGGGCCAGCUCAUUGUCAACUGGUAACGUGCACUUACUAAAUUAUGACCUUUUUUUUAAGUCCCAGAUGAUAUACUUAACAGUUUUAGAUUGCUUGUCACAGUUGUGUUCAAUGCUGCCACUAUAAGUAGCUCACUGAGAUUGUAAAAAUGUUAGUUUAUUUAGUUUGUCACCCAACCUUGCCAAUAACAAACUAGUUAUCAAGUUGCUUUUGACAGCUUUAUAUUUACUUGCUGCGUGCAAUGUGACUAUCUGGGAUUCCUCUGAUUUGAACCCUGCUGUGGUCUAAAGUCUGAUCCUUUUCGUUCUGCUAGCUAGAUUGACGAAUUGACUACCUUCUUUGGAUCCAAGAUUAAUGCAAUGGCUUAUCCCUUUUUAUGCUGGAAAUCCGAGGGCUGAUAGAUUUGACAAGGACUAUCCCCCCUUCCCCAUCUCUCUUUACGUAUAUUGUGAUAUAUAUUUCUUCGCCUUCUAUUUUGGUUCUGGUUUUUCUUCAUGCAGGUUUUUAUUAAGGACAUGACUUCAGUAAAGUUCCAUAGGACUUUGCUUCGGAAGCAUAUGUUUGAGGUAAAUUUUUUUUUUCAAGGCUUAUUUAUGUGGUGCUGAGCUAUAAAAUAUGACUUAUCAUGUUUUUAUUGGAAUAGCUUGAUAGCAAAGACCUAAAAAAUGUACUUAUUGAUAGCAAAGACCUAAAAAAUGUACUUAAGUUUUGUCCUUUUGUUAAAAGAAAUCCUGAAAGUGUUUUUGAAAUUUGUAAUUUGAAACCUAAAAUGGUGAGAUAUUUGUAUCUUAGAAAAAUUAACUGGAAACUACAUUAAUGAUGUUUCUAUGUUCUUAUUCUGUAGUUCAGUGUCCUCUGCCAGUGAGUUAUUGUCUGUCCUAACUGCUUGAUGAUAGCCUGAAUGUUUAUUUAUGAAGAAAGAGUGGCCUCUGCCAGUGGGUUAUUGUCUGUCCUAACUGCUUGAUGAGAGCCUGAAUGUUUAUUUAUAUAACGAAGAGGUAAUUACUCAAAUGAAGUAAUAUCUCAAUCUUGAUUUCAGUUUAAAAGAUUUCCAUUCUGGUAGAUAAAAAUUUAUCAGUGACUGAUCUCUUAAGCAAACUUAUUGCUCAACAAUAAUGAUGUUCCCAUGUUCUUAUUCUGUAGGUUAGUGGCCUCUGCCAGUGAGUUAUUGUCUGUCCUAGCUGCGCGAUAAUUGCCUGAAUAUUUUUUAUAUGAAGAAGAGUUAAUUAGGAAGUAUUAAUACUUCUGUAAUCAGUUACUUUUUUGACUUGCUUUCUGUUCUGGGCAUGGAGUUACGAAAUGUUAGACUUGAUGUUGACGAUGCUGCUGCUUACAAAAAAUGUAAUGGCAAUAUUCAAUCACGAGGUGUCUCAAAAUGAUUCCUCAGGAAUAUACUAGAAGUGGAACCAUUAACUAGGUCAAAAAGGAAUAGAACUUCUGAUCAUUUUUUGGGCUUUUAAAAAUCCUUUCUUUUUUUGACUUUUAAGGUGCUUCAUUAUGGUUUUGUCUCCUUGGGCUAGAGAAUAUAUGAAGGCAUCUGUACCAUAAUCCACUGUUGGAAUUUGCUGAACUGCAUCAUGUGACAAAAAGAUAGAAUAAGAAGUUUCUAGAUUACAGGUAUAUAAUCUCAAAAAGUCUUGUAGGAAUUACUCCUGAUGAAUUUGUUGUACCCUUUGGAGAAGAUAAAGCUUUGAUGAUUUGUCAAUUUUAGGGUUCGGUUUGUCUGCAGCCUCUGCAGUGCAAUUGUUCAGCCGCAGUCCACACUUUGAAGCAGCUUCAUCAAUGGGAUCCAAUUGUUUAUCAUGUUAUCAUCCACUAAAUACAACAACAAUAAUAUCCCUUAUCCCAUUAGAUGAAAUUGACUAAAUGAAUUGUACGACGUCAUUGUACUCUAUUCUUUAAUAAAUUUGAUAUGCUAAUGCUAUACAUAUAUCGUGAUUGUGCAGUGAACUUUCUCUCAAGACUUGCAUACUCCUGCAAGAAAGAGAAGGAAAGGAAUGGUUAGAAGAGAGAGAGGGGAGAUGGUUAUGUAGUCAGCCGAGAAAGGGGGGGGCGAGGACUGGUUAGAAUCUGGUGACCGCUUUUUUCUCUCUCUUGAGGAUGAUGCAGUUGCAAGUGGGGAUCUAAUCUCAGUGAAACUUAUGCUUACAUGUAUUGUGUCUUUUUAAAGAUUAACUUGAUGUAUAUUUUUUUUAUGACUAUUGAAUAAUAGAGAGAGUUUUUUU